Molecule: ribosomal RNA, 253 nt
Filed under: uncultured bacterium
Lineage: Bacteria
Description: partial 16S ribosomal RNA
Rfam family: Bacterial small subunit ribosomal RNA
Source: RNAcentral
UACGUAGGGUGCAAGCGUUGUCCGGAAUUAUUGGGCGUAAAGAGCUCGUAGGCGGUCACGCACGUCCGUUGUGAAAUCGCUCGGCUCAACUGGGCGGGGUCAGCCGAUACUGCGGGGCUAGAGUGCAGAAGGGGCAACUGGAAUUCUCGGUGUAGCGGUGAAAUGCGUAGAUAUCGAGAGGAACACCUGCGGCGAAGGCGGGUUGCUGGGCUGACACUGACGCUGAUGCGCGAAAGCCAGGGGAGCGAACGGG